RNAcentral lists this ribosomal RNA (253 nucleotides) under uncultured bacterium. RNAcentral's name for it is "partial 16S ribosomal RNA". It matches the Rfam family "Bacterial small subunit ribosomal RNA", at positions 524 to 776 of the family's 1533-position model. The record is from RNAcentral.
UACGAAGGGGGCUAGCGUUGUUCGGAAUUACUGGGCGUAAAGGGUGCGUAGGUGGUAAGGUAAGUCGGAUGUGAAAGCUCCGAGCUCAACUCGGAAAUGGCAUUGGAAACUACCUUGCUCGAGGGUUUGAGGGGGGACUGGAAUACUUGGUGUAGCAGUGAAAUGCGUAGAUAUCAAGUAGAACACCAGUGGCGAAGGCGAGUCCCUGGAAAACUCCUGACACUGAGGCACGAAAGCUAGGGGAGCAAACAGG